RNAcentral lists this small RNA (1637 nucleotides) under Pan troglodytes (chimpanzee). Its description in RNAcentral is "retained intron". Lineage: Eukaryota; Metazoa; Chordata; Mammalia; Primates; Hominidae. The record is from RNAcentral.
CACGGGGGCAGGGCGGAGUGGGUGCUGGCGGGAAGGGGUAGGGGGCUGCCAGAGGGAGGGGCGUUGGAGGCAGGGGUGGUGGCUGCGCCAAGCGGGAACCCCAGGGGCUGGGCCUGGCAGGGUGGGACCUGCAGCCCCGACGCCCUCACCCCGCCCCGCAGGUUCUUCUAUCUCUACCACUUCGCCUUCUAUGCCUAUCACUACCGCUUCAACGGGCAGUAUAGCAGCCUGGCCCUGGUCACCUCCUGGCUCUUCAUCCAGGUGAGGCCUGGGCGGCAAGCAGGGGGCGGGCCAGCCGUGCCUUUCCAGGCAGGAGAGGCUGCAGCCGGGGAGGAUGCCCUGUGGGGUCGGCCCAAGCGGGCAGAGGUAGCGUGGAUGGUCCCGGGUGGGCUGCCCUCUGGGAGCAGCGGCUGGGUGGGGCAGGGGCGGGCCCGUCCUGACUCCCGCCCUCCCUCCCGCAGCAUUCCAUGAUCUACUUCUUCCACCACUAUGAGCUGCCUGCCAUCCUGCAGCAGGUCCGCAUCCAGGAGAUGCUGCUUCAGGCGCCGCCACUGGGCCCCGGGACCCCCACGGCGCUGCCCGAUGACAUGAACAACAACUCGGGCGCCCCAGCUACAGCCCCUGACUCUGCCGGCCAGUCCCCCGCCCUGGGCCCCGUCUCGCCCGGGGCCAGCGGGAGUCCCGGGCCUGUGGCAGCGGCGCCCAGCUCCCUGGUGGCCGCGGCAGCCUCAGUGGCGGCAGCUGCCGGUGGUGACCUGGGUUGGAUGGCAGAGACCGCUGCCAUCAUCACAGACGCCUCCUUCCUGUCCGGCCUGAGCGCCUCCCUCCUGGAGCGGCGUCCAGCCAGCCCGCUGGGCCCUGCUGGGGGCCUCCCCCACGCCCCCCAGGACAGUGUCCCCCCGAGUGACUCCGCAGCUUCUGACACAACUCCCCUGGGGGCUGCGGUAGGCGGGCCUAGCCCGGCCUCCAUGGCCCCAACGGAGGCGCCCUCGGAGGUGGGGUCCUGAGCCGCACAGCUGAGCCGCCUCUGACCCCUGCUGGCUGGGCCUGACCUUCCCGAGCCCGUGGGGGUGGGGGAGGCCAGCCACCUCCUUCCUCUGGGACUGCCCAGGCUGUGUCGGGGGCUUUCAGGGUUUCGUGGGGUUUGCCCGGAAGGCGGCUUUCCUCCCACUGGUGUGAGGUCGCGCCCGAGGCUUGUACCCGCUAGUGAGCUGUUUGAGCUGGUCAGCAAGGAGAGGGGGUGGGGUUCCGCGGAAGGUUCUGGAGGGGUCUUGGUAGGUCUGCAGUGAACCGUCCUGAGGAUGGAGUGGGGUCGCAUGGUGCAGGUCUCUGAGCAAGGCGGAGGUGUGGAGGAGAGGCCGGCUUGGGGUGGGGCCUCGCGCCCUAGUGCCGGCCGGCCUCAGCCCGGCUCUGCCUGGUGCUCCCUGCAGUGCCUUCUCCAUGGCCCGGCCCUCCCCGCGUGUGCGCCAGGCCUGGGGUCCCCGGGAGAGCAGAGCUUGCGCCUCGGGCAUAGGGACGUGGGGUGCAGGCGCCAACAUCAGUGGCAGCAGCCAGGGCCGUGGUCCAGUCCCACUCGGGGAUGGAGUGGGCCGGCGGCCAAACCAGUCACUCGGGGAGGAAUGCGGAGGAGCGCUCAU